GUCCAUCUGUUUUCUUUUUUAUACUUUCUUAUUAUUUUUUACUAAACUUUUGUAUAAUUAUUACGUAUUUACGCUUUAAUUUCAUUAUGUAUUAAUGUUUUAUUACAUUCUUUAAAGUGGACCAUCACAUUUGAUAGCUAUUAUCCUGUAAAUUUCAAAAAAUGCUUGGCAAUGACUCGAAAACACGAUCUCCACCUUUUAGACUAAAAC
This 210-nucleotide long non-coding RNA is filed under the name Trifolium pratense (red clover). RNAcentral describes it as "long non-coding RNA (TPRA_LNC013320)". The record is from RNAcentral. Lineage: Eukaryota; Viridiplantae; Streptophyta; Magnoliopsida; Fabales; Fabaceae.